GAGUUUUCUGAAGGAAAAAAAAAAAAAGGGGUCUGAUUUUUUUGACCCGUUUUGGGGCGUUUUCGACCCAUAAAACCACAAACUUGAUCCGCUUGUAUCUCCUUCAUCCGAUCUCCGUUUUGGGUGAUCUUGGUGUCUAUGGAAAGCUCUUGACGAGCCCUACAACUCUGUAUGUUAGAUUUUCCAUUUUAUUAUCCAUUUUUCCAGUUCGAGGCAGCAAAGUCCCGUGGGUUUUCCGGCGGUUUUGUCAUUUUCCGGCGAUUCCGGCAACCAUUUCCUUCAAGUGAGGUAUGAAACUUCAUCUCCUCUUCAUAAUCUUCAAGUUGGUAUGCUUAGUUUGUGCUUUCGUAUUCAUUUUAGAGUUGGGUGUGUAGAACCUUAGAAAUCCGGUUUUCACCGGUGAUUUUGGUCGGUUUCCGGUUAGAAUUUGUCAUUGGCCUAGUUGUGAAAAGUGUUUCUCUUGCUGAGCUCUAACUACCACGUAAAUUUGAGCUUAUUUAGUUAAUGUUGAAAAUUUGGGGUUUCUAAACCCUCCACCUUAACUAACCCGCGUGUGGCGGUGCGUGGGAUCGUCCACGAGUGUUGUCUAAGUACCAAAUACCUUUUAGUGAUCCUGUAAACCUAUGUCUAACUCGGUUUCCCGAAAUUCAAUUGUUUGGUGUGGUGAUCAAAUUGGACCAUCACUUAUUUGUGUGAUUGAUGACAAUCCGAUCGUUGGUUCGUUGUACAAUUUUGUGAACACCCUAGUUGUCAGUUGUUGGACCUUUGAGAACUUACAGAUCGAAAAUCCGAUGUGCGGAUCUUCCGGAUUGAAUAACCUUAGGUUGUUGACCUUAAUGGACCUACCUUAUCGACUGUUGAUGUUCUAGUCAACGUGCUCUACUCUAGGGUGUCGCUUAUCUCUAGUUUGUUGUUGAUGGAGCUUAGUUGGUUCAUCACGAUGACGUGUCGUUUCCAGUUGACGUGUCUCGAUAUAUGUAUUAGCGGCACCAUAUUGAGUUAUACUUGUUUAUUAAAUGUACUUUCUAUUGAAUUGUUAUCUUUAUUUUUUUUAGCAUCGAUCUAUGUUUAUUAAUUGUGAAUCGACUGUAGCUUGGAAACGUUUAUGAAAUGUGGUUAGAUAUGUAUGAUUAGUAUGAUGUAUAUGAUUGUUUUUAGGGAACUUUAACGAAAACACCCGGUAAUGUUCACUUUAACGAAAAACCACAUUUUUACACUAAAAAGUCAAUCUUGGUACUAUUCACUUUACCCUUUAUUUUGUCCUUAUCAUUAAAACUCAAAGUUUUCAAACCCUUUUCAUUAGUUUUCCUUUGUUUUUAUGACGAUGUGAACCCAAAAUCUUAUGAGAAGUUUAUGUAGAACUUUUAUGCUUGUAUGAUAAGAUAGUGGUCAUGAGAAGUUGAUAGUGUAAGUGAUUACGAUGUAAAUCAUAACGGAUGAGAUAAGGGUACGUGGGUUGUGUGUUGAUCUUACUACUCCAUGUAGUAGUUAUACAUUGAUGGUCCUGCUUGGUAUAUCCGCAUUGGGGGGGUCACUAGAGGUCAUGCUUGGUUAAUCCGCAUUGGGGGACCUUACUAUAUAUGGAUCGCGCUUGGUUAAUCAACGUUGGGCGAUCUUUAUGGCCAUGUAUGCUUAAGAGCGAUCAUGCUUGGUAAAUCCUCAUUGGGUGAUCACUUUCUAACAGUUGUAAGAGUGACUUUGCUUGGUUAAUUCGCAUUGGGGGGGGCCACUUCCUAUUUGGUUACUUAUGUAGGCUUCGGCCGAACCGCGUCCCUCUAACCCUAGUUUUUAAUGCACUUAUGAACGAUGGUUUUUGGGAAUUUUGGUUGGUUGAAUGGAUGUUGGGUGACUCCUACGGAGUUUUCAAUGACUUGAUUAUGAUUCCAUAAAGCAUGAUUCUAUACUUGAUGUUUAUAGAUUGUGAUCGAUGGUAUGUUUUUAUUGAAUAUCUCAUACUUGAAUUAUUGUCACUCACCCGAGCUCCGCAGCUUAUCUGAGUUCCGUUUGGCCAGUGCACCAUUUCCAUGAUGUAGGCAUUGAUUUUACCUAUAACAGGUCUGAGUAGAUUGUGAGAAACCGCUUGAUAUUUUGGUUCCGUUGAGCGGUCUGGAACCCGAUGUUGUUGGAUUCCGUUGAGUGGUCCGAAAUCCUUACUUUCGCUAAUUCCCAUAAGAUUAGUCUAGAACCCUAGAUUCGAGUGAAUGGGAAUUACCCACAAUGGAUCUUGUGAAUACAAAUUAGAAUUACCAUGUUAUUAUUCAUAACCCAAGUAGGGAAUUAUGUAGAGUUCUUUAAUUAAAUUCGUGAAAUGAUAUGCUAUCUCACUGAUUGAUUAACGUAAUUAAAUAUUAAUAUUGUGCUUCGUGAUUCCUUGAUAUGUUACAAGCUAUAGAUUGAGAUAUAAUGUUGGAAACAUAGUGAUUGGUAUGAUGUAGUGAAAUGUGAUUUGACUUGUGUAUUGGAAAUGGUUGUGACAUGUGAUUGAAAUGCUUAUUGAAUUGCUUGGGUGAUGUGAGGUCUGGUAAUAGACCGAUAACCCAUUGUGAUAGGGAUUUGUUGCUCGAUAUUGUUUCGUUUCGUUUAGUCUUCGUGAAUUGACUAACUUGAAUCAUGUCUUGUUCCUUUGAGCCGUAGUUAUGCUUCUUGGACUUCCGUUCGGUUCUGUUGAGUGGUCCAGAACUAAGUUCUGCUUGGAUCGUUGAAUGAUGGUCCGGAAUCCCUUCUACUCCGCGAUUCCGUUGAGUGAUGGUCCGGAGUCCCCUUUGGUGCUUUGAUUAUGUUGGAUGGUCCAAAAUUCCCUUUCCAGAAAUGUAGUUUUCGGCCAAACUGUGUCGCUCUAGCCCUUCAUUUCGGUCUAUGAUAUGUGAUAUUGAUUGAUGUGAUUAUGAAUGAUGUUGGUUGUGAUUGUUGCCAUUAUGAUUAGACUUGUUGACCAAUGUGGCUAGAUAAUAACAUUGUGCUUCGUUGACCGUUCUUUGAGAUGUUGCAUACUAUGAUUUGCGGUGAUAUGUGAAACAUGAUGAUUUAUGUGAUGGAUGAAGUGGAAAUGUUAAUCGUCAUGUGGGAUUGUUAUGUUGGAUGUCAUUGUAUUUGUUAUGAUUAGACUUGUUGAUAAAUAUGGCUAGAAAAUAUGUUGUGUUUCGUCAUUGUUCUUUGAUAUAUCGCAUAAUAUGCAUUGUGGUAUAUUGUUGGGACAAAACGUUUUAUGUGAUGGAUAUUCGAUUGUAGUGAAACAAUAAACUAUAAAUGGCUUGAUCCCUAUUGAGGGUACGUAGGCAGUCUAACGAGGAGGUUAGAUGCAGCCAUAAAAUAUACAAAAAUUUCUAUGAGAUUUGGAUCUUGAAUUAUGCUAUGUACAUAUCUCGGAGGCGGGGUAGGUUGAGAUACGGGUAUUUGGUGACGUCAUGUGUUGAUCCUGGACGUAUGUCGGGAUCGGGGCGUGACAGAGCACUCAAACAACUCACAUAACCCUCCUAGCAAAACCCUAUCCAACCCCCUUUGCUACGUUCAAUCGACUCCAACCCAAGGGAAAUAGUAUGUUUCCUUAAUUGCCCCUACAGUUAGUCUCAUAUGCCUCGCAUGUGACUGAUUUUAAUAGAACCAUUGACAGUGUUAGUGAAAAAGACCAUAGCUACACAUUUUGACGAGUUAAGGAACUAAUGGUCAUGAAAAUAAAGUUGAAGGACCAUUGCUAAAAUUUGCCUCCUUUUUUUUUAUAAAUACCUAACCAUGUCCUUUCACUUUUACACUACAUUUCAAUAUUUCAAAUACUUUCUACCAAUCUUUUAUUAUUAUCCGAAAUUAAUAAUAAAGUUAGUUAUCUUUCAUUAUUUUAUAAAAUAAAAAUUAAUAUUAUUUUAAUACGUAUUGUUUAGGUUAUUUAGCUUAUGAGUGGAGAUGCACUUAGACAGUUACUGCGCAUUUAAAAAGAUUGAGUUGCCUAUUUUCCAAAGAGGCCUUGCUACACUAGAAGUGCUCGAAGAGAGCGAGAGGUAAUAUUGCAGAAGUGCUGAUUUGCUUGGAGGACGAGGGAAGCAUGUUUGGUAACAAGUAGAUUCAAUGUCUUGCAUUAUAUGUGUGAUAUUCCUCUAACAAAAGCAAUGUUUUCUCUUGCACGUAGCAGCAAAUUAAGUGCUCAAUUUCUUUCUUUGACAAAAUUUAAACAAUAAAAAUAAAAAAUAGUGCUUAAUUUCUUUCAUU
Molecule: long non-coding RNA, 4200 nt
Filed under: Malus domestica (apple)
Lineage: Eukaryota; Viridiplantae; Streptophyta; Magnoliopsida; Rosales; Rosaceae
Description: long non-coding RNA (MDOM_LNC006632)
Source: RNAcentral